This 1434-nucleotide ribosomal RNA is filed under the name uncultured organism. Its description in RNAcentral is "16S ribosomal RNA". It matches the Rfam family "Bacterial small subunit ribosomal RNA". The record is from RNAcentral.
GGCGGCGUGCUUAACACAUGCAAGUCGAACGGAAAGGCCCUGCUUUUGUGGGGUGCUCGAGUGGCGAACGGGUGAGUAACACGUGAGUAACCUGCCCUUGACUUUGGGAUAACUUCAGGAAACUGGGGCUAAUACCGGAUAGGAGCUCCUGCUGCAUGGUGGGGGUUGGAAAGUUUCGGCGGUUGGGGAUGGACUCGCGGCUUAUCAGCUUGUUGGUGGGGUAGUGGCUUACCAAGGCUUUGACGGGUAGCCGGCCUGAGAGGGUGACCGGCCACAUUGGGACUGAGAUACGGCCCAGACUCCUACGGGAGGCAGCAGUGGGGAAUAUUGCACAAUGGGCGGAAGCCUGAUGCAGCAACGCCGCGUGCGGGAUGACGGCCUUCGGGUUGUAAACCGCUUUCGCCUGUGACGAAGCGUGAGUGACGGUAAUGGGUAAAGAAGCACCGGCUAACUACGUGCCAGCAGCCGCGGUGAUACGUAGGGUGCGAGCGUUGUCCGGAUUUAUUGGGCGUAAAGGGCUCGUAGGUGGUUGAUCGCGUCGGAAGUGUAAUCUUGGGGCUUAACCCUGAGCGUGCUUUCGAUACGGGUUGACUUGAGGAAGGUAGGGGAGAAUGGAAUUCCUGGUGGAGCGGUGGAAUGCGCAGAUAUCAGGAGGAACACCAGUGGCGAAGGCGGUUCUCUGGGCCUUUCCUGACGCUGAGGAGCGAAAGCGUGGGGAGCGAACAGGCUUAGAUACCCUGGUAGUCCACGCUGUAAACGGUGGGUACUAGGUGUGGGGUCCAUUCCACGGGUUCCGUGCCGUAGCUAACGCUUUAAGUACCCCGCCUGGGGAGUACGGCCGCAAGGCUAAAACUCAAAGGAAUUGACGGGGCCCCGCACAAGCGGCGGAGCAUGCGGAUUAAUUCGAUGCAACGCGUAGAACCUUACCUGGGUUUGACAUGGAUCGGGAGUGCUCAGAGAUGGGUGUGCCUCUUUUGGGGUCGGUUCACAGGUGGUGCAUGGCUGUCGUCAGCUCGUGUCGUGAGAUGUUGGGUUAAGUCCCGCAACGAGCGCAACCCUUGUUCACUGUUGCCAGCACGUUAUGGUGGGGACUCAGUGGAGACCGCCGGGGUCAACUCGGAGGAAGGUGGGGAUGACGUCAAGUCAUCAUGCCCCCUAUGUCCAGGGCUUCACGCAUGCUACAAUGGCUGGUACAGAGAGUGGCGAGCCUGUGAGGGUGAGCGAAUCUCGGAAAUCCGGUCUCAGUUCGGAUUGGGGUAUGCAACUAGACCUCAUGAAGUCGGAGUCGCUAGUAAUCGCAGAUCAGCAACGCUGCGGUGAAUACGUUCCCGGGGCUUGUACACACCGCCCGUCAAGUCAUGAAAGUUGGUAACACCCGAAGCCGGUGGCCUAACCGUUGUGGGGGAGCCGUCGAAGGUGGGACUGGUGAUUAGG